Molecule: long non-coding RNA, 761 nt
Filed under: Mytilus galloprovincialis (Mediterranean mussel)
Lineage: Eukaryota; Metazoa; Mollusca; Bivalvia; Mytilida; Mytilidae
Source: RNAcentral
CUUAAUACUACAGUCGAGUCAUAAUGUAUUCAUAAAUGUUUGAUAUAUUAAAGUUUGUUGCACACUUGACAUUUCACACAUGCAAAUAAACCGGUCCUACUAAAAAGCGCCCGGGAGCGCCCGGAUGAAGAAAAAGCACCGGGAAGAAAAAAAACGCCCGGGGAUAAGAAAAAGCGCCCGGGAAAAAAAAGCACCCGGGAGAAUCAAAUAAGAAUAUUUUUAUAAAAAUGAAUGUUUUCCUUAAUAAAAAAAAGUAAGCCUUGCUUGUUUCGUUCUUACUAUUAAGUGUGUAGAUAUUGUUGUUGCACUUUUACAUUUUAGCUUUCAAAGUAAGUAAGUAAAUAUAAACUAGACUAUAUAGAAGAAUCAUAUUGUCCUCGAUCAAAACAUACGUAUAUUUAGUUUUUAAAAAAAUUUAGUGCCUGAAGUCUAAUAUUCGCAACUGCAUGGUGAACACUUUUCAAAGUUUUGUAUUUGAUUGAACACAUUUGAAUUGACAGUGGAAGAUCAUGGAAGGGUUUCAACAAUCCUGCCACUAAGAAAAGAAAAGUUAAAGCUACAUCUAUCUGCUGUUGAAACGAUACAAUAUUAACGAGAAUGGUUAGAGAUUCUUGGUCCUACAAAGAAAAAACCAGAAGUCUAUAGCUAUAAUAACAUGUGCCUGUCACUUUGAUAGUUCUUAAAUAAUGUGGAACUCUUUUAAUUUUAUAAAAUUAUUAUUUAUCUGUAAAAUUUAAGUUGUUUUUGCAUAAUUCAUUUUG